CUCCCACCAAGUAUGUCAACUUGUUCCUUUUCUCAUGGGGGCCUUGUGUGCAAUGUCUGUGAGCCACAGGCUUCUGGGAAGUGCAUUCAACCUGUUACAGGAGUUUUUCUAAGGGACCUUGGGGACAGUU
Microtus ochrogaster (prairie vole) is the source of this 130-nucleotide small nucleolar RNA. Its record names the gene SNORA70. It matches the Rfam family "Small nucleolar RNA SNORA70". Rfam says of the family: snoRNA U70 seems to be exclusive to mammals and is a member of the H/ACA class of snoRNA which contain H (ANANNA) and ACA box motifs. H/ACA box snoRNAs are involved in the conversion of uridines to pseudouridines (5-ribosyluracil) a constituent of structural RNAs (transfer, ribosomal, small nuclear, and small nucleolar). Lineage: Eukaryota; Metazoa; Chordata; Mammalia; Rodentia; Cricetidae. The record is from Ensembl.